Molecule: ribosomal RNA, 158 nt
Filed under: Uncinocarpus reesii
Lineage: Eukaryota; Fungi; Ascomycota; Eurotiomycetes; Onygenales; Onygenaceae
Description: 5.8S ribosomal RNA
Rfam family: 5.8S ribosomal RNA
About the family: 5.8S ribosomal RNA (5.8S rRNA) is a component of the large subunit of the eukaryotic ribosome. It is transcribed by RNA polymerase I as part of the 45S precursor that also contains 18S and 28S rRNA. Functionally, it is thought that 5.8S rRNA may be involved in ribosome translocation.
Source: RNAcentral
AAACUUUCAACAACGGAUCUCUUGGUUCCAGCAUCGAUGAAGAACGCAGCGAAAUGCGAUAAGUAAUGUGAAUUGCAGAAUUCCGUGAAUCAUCGAAUCUUUGAACGCACAUUGCGCCCCCUGGUAUUCCGGGGGGCAUGCCUGUCCGAGCGUCAUUG